Molecule: transfer RNA, 85 nt
Filed under: Felis catus (domestic cat)
Lineage: Eukaryota; Metazoa; Chordata; Mammalia; Carnivora; Felidae
Rfam family: tRNA
About the family: Transfer RNA (tRNA) molecules are approximately 80 nucleotides in length. Their secondary structure includes four short double-helical elements and three loops (D, anti-codon, and T loops).
Source: Rfam by way of RNAcentral
GCCUGGGUGGCUCAGUUGGUUGAGCGUCCCACUUCGGUUGAGGUCAUGAUCUCACGGUUCGUGAGUUCGAGCCCCACGCCAGGCU